UGUUACGAGAAUUAAGGCGUUUCAGAAGAAAAUUUUUCUGUAUUAUCAAGAAAUAUUCUUUCUCUUUCUCAUUCUUUAUCUUCCUUAUGAGGGAAGGAACACAGCAAUCUAACAAAAGAAAGACAUUAAACUUAAAUAAUUUUGAUACAGAUUGCUUUCCCAUAUCCUUAGCUAUCAUUUUUUUUUAAAAAGAAUAACUAAGAUAUGAGUUAAAAAUCCUAUUAUUUGAGAUAAUACAGUACAGUUUAGGAUUUCCUUUUUCCCUAUUUCUGUUUAUAUAACCUGAUAAGAUAUAUUACCUUACCAUUUAAAUCCUAUCAGUCCAGCACUCUUUACUACAACUGGUUAAUGGGAACUGUAACAAUCUGAGCUCAGUCACAGAGACAGUUGUGUAUUUUCUAGGUAACCAAGGUCUGUUAGCCCUACUAACCAGAUGCUCCUUACCACAUGUAAGGCACUCUAGCAACGUUUCAAAGACACAGCCUACUUAGUUACAUACUGUCCUUGGCCUGGUUAUCUCAGUUACCUUGAGGUCUAUGAAUGAUCUCAAUGGAAAGAUGCUCCUGAAAUGAUACACAAAACUUUGCUUGUGUUAUGGUCUGUGUAGGAAGACUAGUGCUUUUAUUAUCUAAAAAGUCCAUGUUACCUGUUAUGCUCUUCCCUCCCAAAGCUAACGAUUCAUGAUUUAGAAUAUUUUCUGAUAAACAAUUUAUGGUAUUUACCUCACUAAGCACUUUUGAAAAUAACUAAGUCUCUUUCAGUACGUAUUUCAGAAAGCUGUCAAAGGACUAUUAUGUUCUCUCCUGGUGACUAAUGUGAAGCUCCCUGGGCUUUGUCCCUCCCUCUUCCUGGCUUUGUCCUAGGAAAUAUCAGCUACAGAAGCUAAGUAAAUCAGGGGGGAUGUUUUUGCAGGUCUUUUGGGUCAAAAGGAAAGAUGACUUGAGUGAAAAUGACAACAGCAAAAUUAGGAAGUGAUUACUGGGAGUAUCUGGUGGAGAAGCACACAGUGAUGGAAACAGCAUGGUAUGGAUCGAAGUUGGUGAAAUGGACCACGUGCUGAGUUAAGAAGAGGGAAACAAAGUCUAGCUCCAGCUCAGCUACGAAGGUGCUCUACAUGACACAGCUGAUUUCCCGCAGCCUGGUCAGACCAAGAGACGUGCUAAGCUGGGUAACUGCACAUGUGUGUGCAAUGCCCAUGGAGGACAGAACAGGCUGUUGGAUCCCCUGGCACU
This is a long non-coding RNA of Nannospalax galili (Upper Galilee mountains blind mole rat), 1232 nucleotides long. RefSeq lists it as uncharacterized. The transcript has 3 exons. Lineage: Eukaryota; Metazoa; Chordata; Mammalia; Rodentia; Spalacidae. The record is from RefSeq and is a predicted model, not a curated record.